This 1117-nucleotide long non-coding RNA is filed under the name Oryctolagus cuniculus (rabbit). RNAcentral's name for it is "lncRNA (ENSOCUG00000034933.1)". The record is from RNAcentral. Lineage: Eukaryota; Metazoa; Chordata; Mammalia; Lagomorpha; Leporidae.
GCCAUGACCCAGCGUGAGAUCCACCACUGGCUGCCUUUCUGUGACGGGCAGGGAGCCAGGAGCCCCUCCGCUCCCCCAGGCCAGGAGUGGACCAAGGGAGGACAGAGGGCAGAGGUGCGGAAGAGGGAUGGGGCCUGGCCUGGCUCCCAGCCUCCUGGGCGGGGCCACCUGGGCUUGUUACCAUGGUGACUGGUUUCCCUGGUUACCCGGGAGCCUGCAGAACCACAGCCAGGCAGGGGCGGCUGGCGGGGAGGGGGCAGAGACGCCCCUUGGGAGGCCUGGCUGUCUGGGCCCUCAGGCCCCGGGGGCCCGCAGCAGAGCCCCACCUCCCUGGCUGGCGUGCAGAGGUGGUCCAGGCCCUACCCCCAGGCACAGGCUGGUGUCCUCCUAACACAGUUGCAGAAGGAGUCAGCCAGCCAUGGCGUGAAGAAGAGAGAAAAAACGUUCAACUAUGCCAGUCUUUGCAGUUGAUUUCCUGUGGCUCUAAAACAAAGCCACUGAAGACUUGGGAAGAAACUGAGCUGUGCCGCUGGCCACGUCCUGCAGGUCAGCAAAGCCAAACCAUCGCGACUCAGUGGCUUCUGUCCACACCUGUGACCAGGGCGACCAGCCAGCAGGCUCUGCAGGGAGCAGCACUACCUGCCAAUGCUGGACAGCGUCACCGAUGUGCUCAGUAAUAUCCCACUAAAAGAGACGCUGAAUCUCUGAGCAACAACCCGCAGGGCUGUGUGUCUGCGAGCACAGCCCUGGGCGACGGGCGGACGUCAUCCAAGGCUCCAGGUCACCCAGGGGUGGUGAGAGAUGACGGCCGGGUCGCGGCCGUGGAGCCUGCAGUGCCAGUGUCUUUGGGACACAGCCUGUCCUCUGCUGUUCGGGCAACAGUAGACGCCAGGGUGUGCGACUCGCACCUGUGUAGUGUUAACACCAGCAGCCCAGCUGUCUUCCUUCAGAGCACGUGGCACCUGCUCUGCCCCCACACAACACACGGGGAUCCCGCUGGACCAACCCCUGCCCAGGUCCAGCAGCCGCCCUGCGAGCGAGCAGCUUGAAUGUUUUACCCAGGGUCGGUUUUUUUUUUUUAUCAAACAUGGGGUAAUAAAUGAGUAUUUCUUUAUCA